RNAcentral lists this ribosomal RNA (468 nucleotides) under uncultured bacterium. Its description in RNAcentral is "partial 16S ribosomal RNA". It matches the Rfam family "Bacterial small subunit ribosomal RNA", at positions 28 to 507 of the family's 1533-position model. The record is from RNAcentral.
GACGAACGCUGGCGGCGUGCUUAACACAUGCAAGUCGAACGGAAAGGCCCUGCUUUUGUGGGGUGCUCGAGUGGCGAACGGGUGAGUAACACGUGAGUAACCUGCCCUUGACUUUGGGAUAACUUCAGGAAACUGGGGCUAAUACCGGAUAGGAGCUCCUGCUGCAUGGUGGGGGUUGGAAAGUUUCGGCGGUUGGGGAUGGACUCGCGUCUUAUCAGCUUGUUGGUGGGGUAGUGGCUUACCAAGGCUUUGACGGGUAGCCGGCCUGAGAGGGUGACCGGCCACAUUGGGACUGAGAUACGGCCCAGACUCCUACGGGAGGCAGAAGUGGGGAAUAUUGCACAAUGGGCGGAAGCCUGAUGCAGCAACGCCGCGUGCGGGAUGACGGCCUGCGGGUUGUAAACCGCUUUCGCCUGUGACGAAGCGUGAGUGACGGUAAUGGGUAAAGAAGCACCGGCUAACUACGUG